This 352-nucleotide ribosomal RNA is filed under the name uncultured organism. Its description in RNAcentral is "bacterial LSU rRNA". It matches the Rfam family "Bacterial large subunit ribosomal RNA", at positions 2099 to 2465 of the family's 2925-position model. The record is from RNAcentral.
CUUUACUAUAGCUUGGAAUUGUGUUCGGGCUUUGAGUGCGCAGGAUAGGUGGAGGCGUAGAAGUAAUCCUUGUGGGGAUUAUAGAGCCAACGGUGAGAUACCACUCUCUCAAAGCUAGAAUUCUAACGGGAAACCGGAAAGUUUCAGGUGGGUAGUUUGACUGGGGCGGUCGCCUCCAAAAAGGUAACGGAGGCGUACAAAGGUUACCUCAGACUGGUUGGAAAUCAGUCGAAGAGUGCAAAGGCAGAAGGUAGCUUGACUGUGAGACGAACAGGUCGAACAGGGUGGAAACACGGGCUUAGUGAUCCGACGGUGCUGCGUGGAAGGGCCGUCGCUCAACGGAUAAAAGUUA